UCCGUUGUAAAGAUUUAGGUAUUACAAACGCUAACAAAGCUAGGAUUUUAAAUAUAAAAAAAUAAAUUCAUUAACUAAUCAAAGGGUGGUGUUAUUUAUAGUAUAUAGUAGCUCCGCCACUAAACACUAAUAGCUAGAAUAUGUACAAUUUUUCUUGCUAAAAUUCCAUAGUGGUGAAAACCGUUAUUACAUUCUCUACUAAUUAUAACAGCAACCUACUAGCUACGUACGACUCCUAAACUACGACGUACUAACUACACCAACCGAGAAAGCAGUGGUUUCUGCAUUCCUCCGCCGUCUACAACCGUCCCACAACCUAACGACGCUGCCGUCAAUAACCCUCAUGUCCUGGUAAGAGUACCACUCCAUUUCUCCUUUCCUCAUUUUCACCGCACUCUCCCAAUUCUCAAACAGCUCCUUACUCAACUCUACGCCGCCGUCUUCUCCUUCCUCAUUACCGUUACCGUCAUAUUCUCCACCGGCAAUAUCUUGCUUAAAAUACACCGUUAGUUUCCUUUUUUUUCCUUCUUCUUUGGUCAAAGCAACAACAUGAAACAUAAUAGUAGUAGCUGUUGAUAUUGUUGCCUGCUGAUCAGUUGACUCCCUUUCUACCUGUGAUGACGGUGAAGACAUAGACGACGUUACCAAAGUUGGCGUCGGCGGGGGUGGAGAUGGGGCAUGGCCGGAAAAGUCUGCACGUGGCUCCGGUGCAGGUAACGUCGAACAUGUUUUGAUUCUCCAGAAGCUAAUGGCGGCCGUGAGAACCGCGACCCAUGUCCAGACAUUGUUGACGAUAGUAAUGAAACCGAAGCUCAAGUAACUGAAAGCAAGAGCUUCAAGCGGAGAUUCCAAUGCAUUCAUGUCUUGAUCAAUUUUCUUUGAAACUUUUCCUGAUCAGUUUUCCUUUUCCUUUUCUCUUAGGUAAGUGGAGUACUUUAAUGUAGGGAAUAUAUGGGAGUGGGGUGACAAAUGUGAGCCGUCGGAUACAAGAGGAAGAAGGAAAUCAGAGAAGCAUAUGAGAUUAGAUGCUAGGAAUCGUGAGCGAAGAUGCCAAGGCAGAUCCAAAUUCCAAUUACAUGGU
This 1081-nucleotide long non-coding RNA is filed under the name Nicotiana tabacum (common tobacco). RNAcentral describes it as "long non-coding RNA (NTAB_LNC009129)". Lineage: Eukaryota; Viridiplantae; Streptophyta; Magnoliopsida; Solanales; Solanaceae. The record is from RNAcentral.